Molecule: long non-coding RNA, 4107 nt
Organism: Pyrus x bretschneideri (Chinese white pear)
Lineage: Eukaryota; Viridiplantae; Streptophyta; Magnoliopsida; Rosales; Rosaceae
Exons: 3
Source: RefSeq, a predicted model, not a curated record
AUUGAAUUCUGAAAAUUGUCACGCGUUCGUGACGUCGUGUAGAUCACCGUGGUGAAAAAUUAUACAGAGGAAGAAUGUAACCAAUCUAGGGGAGGCUCAGGAACCUACGAGACGUCGAUAUAAUCUGUUCAAGUAUAUGCAAAGGUGUGGUGACUACGAGGAAAAUUCAACGGUGUUCUGACAGAAUGGACCAAAUGAGGACUCACCUUCGGGUGGUUCAUCUUAGAAAUUGUAUAUUUUUAAAGCUUCCGAACUGUGUAAAUGGUUACGUCACUCUCACGUGACGGCCAGCAUGCCCUCCUUCGGGAUGGGGUGUGACAGUUGGUAUCAGAGCCUAGUUUCAAUCUUGGACAUCUUGAGAAGUUCUAGUGAAUUCUGUCAGAACUACACCGCCUCGUAGCAAACCACGUAGUUAGAGGAACUUAGUCUCCCUGAUUUAGCUGUUAGGGGAAACUAUUAUGUUGGGUGAUUCACUAUAUUAUCGAAAGGGACAUUUUAAGAUGGGUUAUGAGUUGAAUUUGAAUCACCUUAUGAAAUGAUGGACCGAGGGAGCAAAGUGAUGAAUUAACCAAUUGGAAAAGAUGUUUUAGAUUAUGCAAGUCAAGGGAAUUUUCCUUUUGACAGAAGGGUUGAGACGACUAACUGGUUGGAGUUAUGAACUUGUAUCCUGGUGGAAACAGGAGUAUAAUUCGUUGUCACCGGAGGAAACAACCGAUUGAGAAUUGUUUAAGGACUUGUUUAAAUAAAAGAAUUAUUCCUCCGGCAUAUAUGGAUGAUAAUAAGCAAGAGUUGUGAUUUGAGACAAGGAAAGAUGACGGCAAAUAAGUAUUAUAGAAAGUUUACAGACUUGCCUUAUUACCAUCCGGAUGUUGUUGAUAAUCCGGCAAAGAUGUCUCGUCGUUUUAGGCUGGGUAAUAAGAAGAAGUGGCGUUCUUUGGGUGACCACUAUCCAUUAUAAUUCUUACCAGGAGUAUACAAGAUGUUGUUGAGCCUUAAGGACUCUGAGAUUAUGUCCAGUGAUAAUGAUGAAGAAGAAUAAAGGAAUGGGAAUCAGAGGAAUGAUGACAAGGAUAAAGGCCAGUCAUCUCGAAAAUCUUGAAAGAUUCGGAACUUCAAAAGAAGUGAAGCUAAUUCUAGUUCUUUUGGCAAAGGUUUUAAUGCCAUUGACCAAAGGCGAAGUGAUAGAUGUAUUGGUAAUCCCAGAUCUCAGAGACAAGGUGAUUUUGGUAAAGGAAAUGUACCUUUGUGCUGUAGGUGCAAUAAUGGACACCUUUGAGAAUAUAGGCGAGAAAGCAGUGGACGCUUUACAAGUGGAUAGAUGGGACAUAGAACUGCAAAUUAUGUCCAAAGCCAAUAGAAGUCCUAGUAGUCUUCUUUGCCACAACUGGCGCCGAUCCAGCAAGUUUCUGGAUCUAUUAAUUAUGGUCGGUUAGGCCGUGGUGUACAUGAACGAAGUAUUUACACUAAUAGAGGUUGUGGGAGACGACAACCAGCCCAGGGAUGUGUUAACCACACAUCACUGCAAGAUACUCAGAAUUAUUCGGAUUUGAUUAGGAGUACGAUAAUUAUUCUUAAUGACUUAGCUAGAGUCUAUUUGUUAUUAAUGUAGAAAUUUUAUGUUAUAUACAGUGAUGAGUUGCAGACCACACGAGGUGGUACUGAAUGUGUGCAAGAUAUACUGAUAUGAUGAGUUAAUUAUGAGUUAUAUAUGCAGCCGAUGGCUGAGUUGAUUAGAAUGAAAGAGUAUGAGCUAUGUUUAUAGCCGAAUGUUGAAUUGAUUAUAUGUUAUUCCAUCAUAGUCACAUAGAGAUGAUGAGCAUUCUGUUAUGAUACUUGGCAUGACAUACAUUCAUAUUGCCUAGUAUAAUUUGAGAUAUAUUACGUAUAUGAGUAUAUACUUUAGUUCCGGGAAACCAGUUAUUUUCCAUCGGUCUGGAUGACUAGAGAUUACUUUUGUAAGUAUGUAAAGUGGAGUAAGGCAGGCCGUUAUUUAUGCUGUGAGAGCAAAGAGAUUGUUAUCAAAAGGCUGCCAAGUAUACUUAUCUCAUGUGGUACUAAAUAAUAUCACUUCUGGUAUUGUGGAAGAAGUGGGAAGAGUCAAACAUUUACCUGACGUUUUCCCUGAGAAUUUACCUGGAUUGCCUUUAGGCAGAAAUGUGAAGAUCAAUAUCGAUUUGUUUCCAGUAUAAAAAUUUUAUGUUAGAGAUUAGUUCAUGAUGAGUUAAGAGAAUUGGAAAUUUAGUUGAAGGAAUUGGUUGAUAAAAGUUUCAUUCAACCUAAUACAACACUUUUGAGGAGCCCAUUUCGUUGGUGAAAAAGAAAAUGGACCUUAAAGACUAUCCAUUGAUUAUAGACCAUGGAAUCAGGUAACGAUUAAGAACCGUUAUCCAUGAUGGUGUACUGAUGUUUAAUGAAUCAGCUCAGAGGUAUUUGUAUAUUUUCUAAGAUUGACUUGAGGUCUGGAUAUUAUUAAUUGAAGAUUAUCGGUGAGGAUGCCCUUAUGAUAACUUUCAGGACUCGUUAAGGUCAUUUCAAGUUUGGUGAUGCCAUUCGGAGUGACGAAUGCAUCUACUAUUUUAUGAAUUUGAUCAAUGAAGCAUUCCAAUGAUAUCUAGACCGAUUUGUUGUUGUUGCUAUUGAAAAGAUUGAUAAGACUAAAGCAAAGUAUGCUAAACAUCUUAAAUUGGUAUUGCAAAGAUCGAGGGAAUGUCGAUUGUAUGCUAAAUUUAGCCAAUGCCAAUGUUGGAUGAAUCAAGUAGCAUUUUUGAGAUAUGUUAUAUCUGCUUCAGGUAUUCAAGUGAAUUCUUAAAAGGUAGCAGAAAUUGAGAAUUUAGAACAACCACGAAUCAUGAUUGGGAUUCGGAGUUAUCCUAGCUUAACAAGCUAUCAUGGACGGUUCGUGAAAGAUUUUUCAGUCAUUGCCUUGCCAUUGACAAGAAAAGAGGUUAAGUUUGAGUGGGAUGAUAAUUAUGAGUAAAGGUUUCAACAGCUGAAGUAUUUCCUCACUCAUGCACGUAUUUUAGUAUUCCCAGAGAAUGGUGGUAAUCAUAAAUUUUUAGUGAUGUUUCUUGAAUGGUAUUGGAUGCAUGUUGAUGCAAAUGUUAGGGUGAUUACAUACAUUUCACGACGAAAGGAAUCUCAUGAAAUGAAUUACCCUACUGAUGAUUUGGAAGUCAUGAUUACCAUUCUUGCUGUGAAGUCAUGAGGACAUUAUAUUUGGUAAGAAUGCAAGAUUUUUACGAAUCCAAAAAGUCUCUAAUAUCCAUUACUUGGAAAGAUUUUGAUAUGAGGUAGCGAAGGUGGAUUGAAUUGUUUAAUGAACAUGAUUGUAUGAUCAAGGAAAUCGUAAAAUUGUUCUAGCUGAUGCACUUGGUGAAAAGACUGUGGUAAGAGUUAAUGUCUGGCACGCUUGCCAAGAUUGUCUUCUUGUGGAUUGGAAAUCAACUGAAGUAAAGUUAAGAAUGGAAGAUUGAGAAGAAGUUGUAAUUGCUAAUUUUCAAGUUAAGUCUUUUUGGUAAGGUCAUACUCAAGACUCAAAUGGUUAACGAAGAAAAUUAAGAAUUAACCAAGACAAAGAAAGAAGGGAAAAAGAAAGAUUGCUGAGUUCGAGAAUAGGAUGGUUAUGAUUGAACUUGAAGUGAUAAUUGAUCAAUGUACCAAGUUAAUACAUUUACUCCAGUGUUGAGUAAUAACCACAGUGUAACAAUACUUAUAUGUUUUAUGGAGAAGAGAUUUGGGUUACGGAACUGCUAAGUUUCUUAAGUAUGUUGAUUGCGCAGUUUCCGAUGUAACGCCAUAAGGACUAUGAAAUAUGUCGAUUUUUGGCUGAUUUGUGGAAGAAAUGCUUCUGGAUAUAAAAGAUUCGAUCACGAAAGAGUUUUGGUAGGCCCUGAAACUAUGGAUGAGUCUUCUCAAAGUAUUCAGGUAAUUAGGUAUAACCUGAAAGUAGCUUAGGACAGGCAGAAAAGUUUAGCAGAUCGACAUGCUACGGACAGAAUGUAUGAGGUCGGAGAUUAGGUAUUUUUGAAGCUUUCACCGUGGAGAGGUGUUGUACGGUUUGGAAAGAAGGGGAAGUUGAGUCCAGGUACAUUGGACCAUACAUGGUCA